Molecule: unclassified non-coding RNA, 208 nt
Filed under: Glomeraceae sp.
Lineage: Eukaryota; Fungi; Glomeromycota; Glomeromycetes; Glomerales; Glomeraceae
Description: partial contains 5.8S ribosomal RNA and internal transcribed spacer 2
Rfam family: 5.8S ribosomal RNA (bases 1-72)
Source: RNAcentral
GUGAAUCAUCAAAUUUUUGAACGCAAAUUGCACUCUCCGGUUUUCCGGGAGAGUAUGCCUGUUUGAGGGUCUGUUUAAAAAAUAAUCGAGGCUGCUGCUGUGGUGGCUCUCCGGAAUUGGGUCAUCUUUCACCUUUCGUUGUUAAGCGACCUAAAAUUUUUUUUCCGAUUUCUACGAACGUUUCUAAGAAUUUCUUGUACGUUAACGA